RNAcentral lists this ribosomal RNA (406 nucleotides) under uncultured bacterium. RNAcentral describes it as "partial 16S ribosomal RNA". It matches the Rfam family "Bacterial small subunit ribosomal RNA", at positions 29 to 526 of the family's 1533-position model. The record is from RNAcentral.
AACGAACGCUGGCGGCAUGCCUAACACAUGCAAGUCGAACGAGUGGCGGACGGGUGAGUAAUGUCUGGGAAACUGCCUGACGGAGGGGGCUAACUACUGGAAACGGUAGCUAAUACCGCAUACCAUGAGAUGUGCCCAGAUGGGAUGAUCUCGGUGGUGUGGCAACGGCUCACCAAGGCUACGAUCCCUAGCUGGUCGGCGAGGAUGACCGUCCACACUGGAACUGAGACACGUUCCAAACUCCUACGGGAGGCAGCAGUGGGGAAUAUUACACAAUGGGCGAAAGCCUGAUCCAGCAAAGCCGCGUGUAUGAAGAAGGCCUUCGGGUUGUAAAGUCCUUUCGGCGGGUAGGCGUUACCCGCCGAGGAAGCACCGGCUAACUCCGUGCCAGCAGCCGCGGUAAUUC